This is a long non-coding RNA of Homo sapiens (human), 1390 nucleotides long. RefSeq lists it as uncharacterized. The transcript is spliced from 3 exons. NCBI's taxonomy places the organism in Eukaryota, Metazoa, Chordata, Mammalia, Primates, Hominidae. The record is from RefSeq and is marked validated.
ACACAACUCACCAAACCAAGAAAGAAGAAGCGCUGAGGAGAGAGGGUUGUAGAGAGGGGAAGAAUGGGGACGGCCCAGAGGUCUGACCUAUUUAUACCCCAGCCAGGCCCUGCCCAUAGCAGGGGACAGGGGAGAGCGGAUACUGCCUUCCUGCUGUGGGCUGAUGCGCGCCCUGCGUAUUCCUGGAAGGUGCACACGAUGGCAGCUACCGCCUGCUCCAGAGGCCUGGCCAUCCUCACUGUCACAGAACAAGGGUGUGGCUCACAGCAGAGUUCCAGGCCAGCCCCCCAGCUCACCUCUGCCCUCUGUGUUUCUCAGAGACUGUUCCCAGACCCAUCUUAACCUCCAUCAGGCUUCAGGCCCCGCAGUCUCCCCCUCCUCUGAGUAGCCCUCCCAGACCACACCAGCCCCUCCUAAUUUAUCCCCCUGCUGUCCUGUUGUUAUUUCCCCAUGUAGAGGUCUCAUUGCCCCAACAUCGCUGUAAACUCCUCAGAGAGACAGCAUCCUACCCCACCACCCACACACCCCACCGUGGGGCUCCUUAAGCACUCUCAGAUUAUCUGCCACCUCUUCUUAUCCCCAACACCCAGGGAUGGCUCGGUCCCAGUCUGCCCCAGCCCAUGAGAUGCCCUAGAAGCCUCCCUCCCUGCAGGAACUUGCACAAGGAGAGCCUGGCCCUGUGCUUCUCUGCCCUCAGCCCUUGGAGAAGCUAGGCCUUAGCAGGGAGGGGCAGGUCUGAGAGGCGCCCCCACAGCCUCACCACCACUGCCCUCACCCUGCCUCCUGCCCUGAACUCGAGGAAGCUGCACCCAGAAGAAAAACUUGUGGGAUCCUCUCUGCCUGUCGCCAGCUGUGCAACCUUGGAAGAGAACCCAAAACCUAGAAGAGCGUGAGAGGGAAAAGAGGAAGGAGAUUGACUCCCAGGCCGGCAAAGAAGCCUUCCUGCCCGUGCAGGCAGCCAGAGCGCCAGUGACACCUUCGACCUCGCCCUCGGCCCCCAGCACCCAAGCCUUGCCUGUGCCGUCCUCUCCUUGGAGACUCAGCCCUGUUGAGGAGGGGAGUGAGCAAUAGAGGAGGGAAGGAAAAGAGGAGCUGUGAUUAGCCCUGUUUUAUAAUGGGCUACAUAGCCCUGUUUUAUAUGGGCUUUUUAAUGGAAGUAUGGGGAGCAGGGGGCAGAGAACAAGAGACAGUCACGCAGCAGAAGGGGGGGCCAGAGUGCACCAGCAAUUAAUUCAGCUCUAGGUCGAGCUUAAUUAUUCCCACCUAUGAUAUCCCAGCUCUGCCCCCAGCCACCUCCCUUAAGCAGCCUACCUCUGCUCUCGGGGCUUCAUUUUACUCACCUGUCAGUGAUGGAGGGUGAUAAUAGUAACUACCUCAUAGGUUUGUGCGG